Molecule: ribosomal RNA, 620 nt
Filed under: uncultured bacterium
Lineage: Bacteria
Description: bacterial SSU rRNA
Rfam family: Bacterial small subunit ribosomal RNA
Source: RNAcentral
CCUACGGGAGGCAGCAGUGGGGAAUUUUGGACAAUGGGCGAAAGCCUGAUCCAGCCAUUCCGCGUGAGUGAAGAAGGCCUUCGGGUUGUAAAGCUCUUUCGCAAGGGAAGAAAACUUAGUCUCUAACAUAGACUGAGGUUGACGGUACCUUGAUAAGAAGCACCGGCUAACUACGUGCCAGCAGCCGCGGUAAUACGUAGGGUGCGAGCGUUAAUCGGAAUUACUGGGCGUAAAGCGUGCGCAGGCGGUUUUGUAAGUCAGAUGUGAAAUCCCCGAGCUCAACUUGGGAACUGCGUUUGAAACUACAAGACUAGAAUAUGUCAGAGGGGGGUAGAAUUCCACGUGUAGCAGUGAAAUGCGUAGAGAUGUGGAGGAAUACCAAUGGCGAAGGCAGCCCCCUGGGAUAAUAUUGACGCUCAUGCACGAAAGCGUGGGGAGCAAACAGGAUUAGAUACCCUGGUAGUCCACGCCCUAAACGAUGUCUACUAGUUGUUGGUGGAGUAAAAUCCAUGAGUAACGCAGCUAACGCGUGAAGUAGACCGCCUGGGGAGUACGGUCGCAAGAUUAAAACUCAAAUUGAAUUGACGGCUGAGACGNGCGAGACGACGACGAGGAGGAGG